Molecule: ribosomal RNA, 433 nt
Filed under: uncultured bacterium
Lineage: Bacteria
Description: partial 16S ribosomal RNA
Rfam family: Bacterial small subunit ribosomal RNA
Source: RNAcentral
AACGAACGCUGGCGGCAUGCCUAACGCAUGCAAGUCGAACGAGACCUUCGGGUCUAGUGGCGCACGGGUGCGUAACGCGUGGGAACCUGCCCUUAGGUUCGGAAUAACUCCCCGAAAGGGGUGCUAAUACCGGAUAAUGUCUUCGGACCAAAGAUUUAUCGCCUUUGGAUGGGCCCGCGUUGGAUUAGCUAGUUGGUAGGGUAAAAGCCUACCAAGGCGACGAUCCAUAGCUGGUCUGAGAGGAUGAUCAGCCACACUGGGACUGAGGCACGGCCCAGACUCCUACGGGAGGCAGCAGUGGGGAAUAUUGGACAAUGGGCGAAAGCCUGAUCCAGCAAUGCCGCGUGAGUGAUGAAGGCCUUAGGGUUGUAAAGCUCUUUUACCCGGGAUGAUAAUGACAGUACCGGGAGAAUAAGCUCCGGCUAACUCCGUG